AUUGAACGCUGGCGGCAUGCCUUACACAUGCAAGUCGAACGGCAGCACGGGAGCAAUCCUGGUGGCGAGUGGCGAACGGGUGAGUAAUAUAUCGGAACGUGCCCAGUCGUGGGGGAUAACGUAGCGAAAGCUACGCUAAUACCGCAUACGAUCUACGGAUGAAAGCGGGGGAUCGCAAGACCUCGCGCGAUUGGAGCGGCCGAUAUCAGAUUAGCAGUUGGUGGGGUAAAGACCCACCAAGGCGACGAUCUGUAGCUGGUCUGAGAGGACGACCAGCCACACUGGAACUGAGACACGGUCCAGACUCCUACGGGAGGCAGCAGUGGGGAAUUUUGGACAAUGGGCGAAAGCCUGAUCCA
RNAcentral lists this ribosomal RNA (359 nucleotides) under uncultured bacterium. RNAcentral describes it as "bacterial SSU rRNA". It matches the Rfam family "Bacterial small subunit ribosomal RNA", at positions 30 to 390 of the family's 1533-position model. The record is from RNAcentral.